This 433-nucleotide ribosomal RNA is filed under the name uncultured bacterium. Its description in RNAcentral is "partial 16S ribosomal RNA". It matches the Rfam family "Bacterial small subunit ribosomal RNA", at positions 29 to 507 of the family's 1533-position model. The record is from RNAcentral.
AACGAACGCUGGCGGCAUGCCUAACACAUGCAAGUCGAACGAAGGCUUCGGCCUUAGUGGCGCACGGGUGCGUAACGCGUGGGAAUCUGCCCUUUGCUUCGGAAUAACAGUUAGAAAUGACUGCUAAUACCGGAUGAUGUCGCAGGACCAAAGAUUUAUCGGCAAAGGAUGGGCCCGCGUCGGAUUAGCUAGUUGGUGGGGUAAAGGCCUACCAAGGCGACGAUCCUUAGCUGGUCUGAGAGGAUGAUCAGCCACACUGGGACUGAGACACGGCCCAGACUCCUACGGGAGGCAGCAGUGGGGAAUCUUGCGCAAUGGGCGAAAGCCUGACGCAGCCAUGCCGCGUGAGUGAUGAAGGUCUUAGGAUUGUAAAGCUCUUUCACCCGGGACGAUAAUGACAGUACCGGGAGAAGAAGCCCCGGCUAACUUCGUG